Molecule: ribosomal RNA, 301 nt
Filed under: uncultured bacterium
Lineage: Bacteria
Description: partial 16S ribosomal RNA
Rfam family: Bacterial small subunit ribosomal RNA
Source: RNAcentral
CAGCAGCCGCGGUAAUACGUAGGGUGCGAGCGUUAAUCGGAAUUACUGGGCGUAAAGCGUGCGCAGGCGGUUCGUUAAGACAGAUGUGAAAUCCCCGGGCUUAACCUGGGAACUGCGCUUGUGACUGCACAGCUAGAGUAUGGCAGAGGGGGGUGGAAUUCCACGUGUAGCAGUGAAAUGCGUAGAGGUGUGGAGGAACACCGAUGGCGAAGGCAGCCCCCUGGGCCAAUACUGACGCUCAUGCACGAAAGCGUGGGGAGCAAACAGGAUUAGAUACCCCUGUAGUCCCUGUCUCUUAUAC